This 27-nucleotide non-coding RNA is filed under the name Mus musculus (house mouse). The record is from RNAcentral. Lineage: Eukaryota; Metazoa; Chordata; Mammalia; Rodentia; Muridae.
UGCAGAGCAAAUUCCAGGGAAGCCAGG